This 1364-nucleotide long non-coding RNA is filed under the name Parus major (Great Tit). RNAcentral describes it as "lncRNA (ENSPMJG00000003008.1)". Lineage: Eukaryota; Metazoa; Chordata; Aves; Passeriformes; Paridae. The record is from RNAcentral.
CUUCAGUGUGAGACAGGAGUUUACGCUCAGUAAACAAAGCACAGACCAGGGCUUGGGUUUUGCUGCUGAACAUCAUGUGAGUGUUGAUGCUCCCCAGCAGGAAAUAGGAAACAUAACAUUGACUCACUUCGGUGUGUACUGCAAACCCACAAAACAUUGUUCUUUGAGUCUUACACAUCUCAGACUUGGCAAAGACCACCAAUAUGUGCACUUCUUUCAUUUUUUUGAAGUGUUUUUUUUUUCUGAAGGAAUUGGUAAAGCUUGUGCUUGCACAGGCCUAUGAUGCUGAGAAACCUGUCAGAGCCGCCUCUUUGCCCUGCGUGUUUAAGGAUGGAGGCAUUGUUCUGAAACACUAUCCUUUGGAAGGACAGCAGCAAGCAAUCCCUGACCCUUUAACCACAGCAGUUCUCGGGCUGUCAGGCACUGGAGCAGUGUCUGCUGCAGAGCCUGUUCUCCUCGGUGGAUGGGUGCCAGCUGUGUUGCACAAGGAUUUCACCAGUUUGGAGAAGUACACGGGAAACAAAACUCACGUGAGAACAGUACUGGAAAACCUCAGGUCCUGUCCUCAACUGCUACUUUGUGCAUGAAGUAGGCAUCAAGCUGAGCAUGAGCUACUCUUCCUCCUUCCCUGCCAGCUGAGGAGCCACAUCUGGCCACUGGAAGGAGACACCAAGAAGUCCCCCACUGCAUCGCUGGCUGUGGUAACUGCAGAGCUGGACAGGACAAAAUACUCCACCCUAGCUGGGUAGUGAGUAAGAAGCAGAACUAGCUCAGUUUCCAGAAGUCUCUUUGUGUCUGUGACUAAAUUCCUCAGACUGUCAUAUAUCACUAAUGCCCUGCCAGCUCACUCUCUGCACCACCUAAUGCUUGUAACACCAGCCUUCAUACUUGAAUAUAUGUCAUUAAUUUAUACUAUUGUUUUUGUGUGAAUCAAACUGUAAUAAUUAAUUCUGCCAUUGGUCAAUUGGCCACAUCAUUCAGGUAAACCAGCAACUCUUCUUGAGAAUCUUGGAUCCCCUCAUCACAGCAGAUAUGCAGUGAGCUACCAUCACCAUACAGCUUUUGCCAUUUUCCUCUCCAGAUCUGUAGGCAGUGUUUUGAUAAUGCAGCUCUUCUAAGCACUGAAAGGAAGGAAAUCCAAUGUUUUGUUGCCCUUCUAGAAAAAAAUGCAAGGCAAGGUCUUGCAAGAGCAGGUGUGGUUCUAGGUUCAGGCAUGUGUUUGCUGUGAGACUGUGAAAAGUUUGGUGGGGUGUAGACUGUGUGUAUAUAUGUACACACAUGAAUAUAUAUCAUCUUCAUGGCUAUCCUCUUCAUUCCCAGGGCUAGGUUUACUAUAAACAGCUACAAAGCCCUGUUGGCUCCAU